CAGUAGCCGCGGGAAUACGAAGGGUGCAAGCGUUAAUCGGAAUUACUGGGCGUAAAGCGUACGUAGGCGGUGAGUUAAGUCUGCUGUGAAAUCCCCGGGCUCAACCUGGGAAUGGCAAUGGAUACUGGCUCGCUAGAGUGUGUCAGAGGAUGGUGGAAUUCCCGGUGUAGCGGUGAAAUGCGUAGAGAUCGGGAGGAACAUCAGUGGCGAAGGCGGCCAUCUGGGACAACACUGACGCUGAGGCACGAAAGCGUGGGGAGCAAACAGGAUUAGAUACCCGCGUAGUCCCUGUCUCUUAUAC
RNAcentral lists this ribosomal RNA (301 nucleotides) under uncultured bacterium. RNAcentral describes it as "partial 16S ribosomal RNA". It matches the Rfam family "Bacterial small subunit ribosomal RNA", at positions 509 to 807 of the family's 1533-position model. The record is from RNAcentral.